UACGUAGGUGGCAAGCGUUGUCCGGAAUUAUUGGUCGUAAAGCGCGCGCAGGUGGUUUCUUAAGUCUGAUGUGAAAGCCCACGGCUCAACCGUGGAGGGUCAUUGGAAACUGGGGAACUUGAGUGCAGAAGAGGAAAGUGGAAUUCCAAGUGUAGCGGUGAAAUGCGUAGAGAUUUGGAGGAACACCAGUGGCGAAGGCGACUUUCUGGUCUGUAACUGACACUGAGGCGCGAAAGCGUGGGGAGCAAACAGG
RNAcentral lists this ribosomal RNA (253 nucleotides) under uncultured bacterium. Its description in RNAcentral is "partial 16S ribosomal RNA". It matches the Rfam family "Bacterial small subunit ribosomal RNA", at positions 524 to 776 of the family's 1533-position model. The record is from RNAcentral.